This is a long non-coding RNA of Gadus morhua (Atlantic cod), 342 nucleotides long. RefSeq lists it as uncharacterized. The record is from RefSeq and is a predicted model, not a curated record. NCBI's taxonomy places the organism in Eukaryota, Metazoa, Chordata, Actinopteri, Gadiformes, Gadidae. The transcript has 3 exons.
UGCGAUGCGAUUUUCCAGGAGGCCUAUGGGUCGGUUUUCAUCACCACUCUUGUCCUUGGAUUCAGCCCGUCCAUCGAUGGAAACACUACAAUAGAGGUGGAGCUUGUUUUCAAUAACACAGCAUCACCUGAAGUGACCGUUUCAACUGCCGAUGUACUGGAGACCAUGACGACGGCAGCAACCAACACCUCCGCUGGCGGAUUCUCCUUUGAUCCUGAAUCUAUUGUUGUCACAGAAACGCCAACCUCAACGACAGCACCAACAACAACUACGGCAACUCCAGAACCCUCAGUUCCUACUGUGUCUUUCACGGUAGAGGCUACACUAUCAAAGCCUUUCACU